Molecule: ribosomal RNA, 468 nt
Filed under: uncultured bacterium
Lineage: Bacteria
Description: partial 16S ribosomal RNA
Rfam family: Bacterial small subunit ribosomal RNA
Source: RNAcentral
GACGAACGCUGGCGGCGUGCUUAACACAUGCAAGUCGAACGGAAAGGCCCUGCUUUUGUGGGGUGCUCGAGUGGCGAACGGGUGAGUAACACGUGAGUAACCUGCCCUUGACUUUGGGAUAACUUCAGGAAACUGGGGCUAAUACCGGAUAGGAGCUCCUGCUGCAUGGUGGGGGUUGGAAAGUUUCGGCGGUUGGGGAUGGACUCGCGGCUUAUCAGCUUGUUGGUGGGGUAGUGGCUUACCAAGGCUUUGACGGGUAGCCGGCCUGAGAGGGUGACCGGCCACAAUGGGACUGCGAUACGGCCCAGACUCCUACGGGAGGCAGCGGUGGGGAAUCUUGCACAAUGGGCGGAAGCCUGAUGCAGCAACGCCGCGUGCGGGAUGACGGCCUUCGGGUUGUAAACCGCUUUCGCCUGUGACGAAGCGUGAGUGACGGUAAUGGGUAAAGAAGCACCGGCUAACUACGUG